Manacus vitellinus (golden-collared manakin) is the source of this 334-nucleotide long non-coding RNA. RefSeq lists it as uncharacterized. Lineage: Eukaryota; Metazoa; Chordata; Aves; Passeriformes; Pipridae. The transcript has 2 exons. The record is from RefSeq and is a predicted model, not a curated record.
GGCCUGGCGGCUGACGGGGUCUGCCUGGGCUUAGCGGGAGGAGCUGGGAGUUGGCAUGAAUUGCCACGAGAGGAAAUACAUCAAAGGGGCUUCCCUCCAAUUAAGCCCUGAAUAUGCCAGGAGGUUUCAGCCGGGAGAAAGGAGCUGUGGAAGAAAAGCAGCCUAAAAAUAGCCAGUGGGGAUCAUCAGGUUUUCCAGCCAAGAAAAACAAGGAGAGAGAUGAGGGAAUUGGGUUCCAAUUACUAAUGAUUUGGUGGGUGUAGGAAUGAUUUCUGUGUGUUUUCCAGUCCCUUUUGAUUCCUGAGAUGAUUUUAAAAUGAUGGCUUUAGCAAUC